CUCCAGAAGGACACUGAGAAGCUGCAGAAGGAAAUUGAGAGGCUGCAUAACAUGCUUAGUCAAGUACACGUACCAGGUUCCCAAUCCCAGGACCACAUGGUGUCCCUCAGCACCCAGAUGCAACAAGAAGCCAGGCCCAUUACCUCACAGGAGAUGACCCAGACCUCACUGCCCAGGAAGGUGAAGGGGAGCACUAAGGACCCAAAGGCUGUGAACAUGGACAAGGACUCU
This is a long non-coding RNA of Phyllostomus hastatus (greater spear-nosed bat), 231 nucleotides long. RefSeq lists it as uncharacterized. The transcript is spliced from 3 exons. Lineage: Eukaryota; Metazoa; Chordata; Mammalia; Chiroptera; Phyllostomidae. The record is from RefSeq and is a predicted model, not a curated record.